This is a long non-coding RNA of Anguilla rostrata (American eel), 1183 nucleotides long. RefSeq lists it as uncharacterized. The record is from RefSeq and is a predicted model, not a curated record. The transcript has 4 exons. NCBI's taxonomy places the organism in Eukaryota, Metazoa, Chordata, Actinopteri, Anguilliformes, Anguillidae.
AGCAGACACUGCUAUUUUUUUUUUGGAAACUGCAAGAAGAGGAAUCGCCUAAAUCCGGAAGAAAAUUAUCACCCUGGGCCUUCAACAUUUCUUGGUCUACACAGCCCAGUUGAAACUGACAGACAAAUGGAUGAAGUGUGAUGGAUGGUGGGAAAGUUCCCUGGGUUCAUUUGCAUGAAUCAUGGGAGCGAGGUCGUUUGCGGUGCGGAGGCAGGCCUUCUCCAGUCGCGGUUUAAUGAACCGAGGCGCAGCACCUGCGACCCACUGAGCCGGAGCGCUGACCGCUGGAGGAGCAGCUGAGAGUUUUGGGCCUGGGGAUUUCAUUAGGGCCAAGUUCAUUAAGGAAAUGGAUCAGGACCCUCCAUUCUCUUGCAUUAUAUGAGGACUGGAUUCUGAGAGAGACCCUCGCGUGUGGAAGAAGCAAGCCUGUCACAUUUUGAUUGAGAAAAUACUAAUGGAGUUCCCAAAGCCAGCGACAUCUGAUGUGACGGAAAUUCUCCAUUCCUUUCCAAUGUGCCCAGCCCGUGCUGUACCCUGUGUGUGUCUGUGUGAGCUGAGCUCCACUUGAGGUAGGUGGUAUACACUCUAAGAACACUGCAGUGUUUCCCCUUUUCACACCCCAUGUAAAAUCCCUUUAAAGGCUUACGUGGCAGGAUGCCAUUCAGCCUAGCUGUGGAAAUGCCCAAGCGCUGUAUUCUUCUCCAGUGCAAGAGCAGGUUUAAUCUAGAAAAGGUUCAACACAACACAAUCCCAGGCCAUCCAAUCUGAGAGGAAGACUAAUAAGUGAGCCAGCUAACCACAUUUUGGUCUCUCCAAGGAAUCUUUUCUAAAUCAAAAUUAAACAGAGCAGAAUGAUGCCUUUUAUUGUUCUUUGAUUAUUGCAUAAAACCGUAGUAGCUAAUCAACUUUUGUUUAUGUCUACACUGAAUUUGUGUACCACAUGGGUAGAAAACCAGGUAAAGUAGCUACAUGAUUAAAAACCAUCUAGGGGGAGCUAAAGACAAAAAUGGAAUUCCCUCUGGUAGUAGUAGUAUAGUUUGAUCUUUCCAGUUUGCUUUUCAGUUGAUUUUACAGUUUACAGUGUUUGCUGUGUAUUCAAAGUUAAGUUUGUUGUAUUUCAUUAGUAUUUUCCUGAAGGACAUAUCAACAGUUCUCGGUCUCUUAUUUGAACUCACACUCAUGU